Gorilla gorilla gorilla (western lowland gorilla) is the source of this 1157-nucleotide long non-coding RNA. RefSeq lists it as uncharacterized. The transcript has 3 exons. Lineage: Eukaryota; Metazoa; Chordata; Mammalia; Primates; Hominidae. The record is from RefSeq and is a predicted model, not a curated record.
AAACUGUUUGGCUAGGGGUACCCUGCAUCCUGCGUGGACACACCCUCUAAAGCGGAGGCGGGAAGUUGGGUUGACCUGGCCUCUGUGACUUCUGUGGAGAAGAGAACCCUCAUUCCAGACCACAGACAGCACCAGCUGACAGCUGAUCCUCUGGGAGGCGUGAAGAUGGAGUUGGCAGCUGAGGAGCUGUGAGGGUGCCGAGCCAGGCACCGGGUGGAGCUGCUCCACAUUCAGGAUGGGCGAUGGCGGCUUCCAGGAAGGCAGAGGAGCCUCUCAGAGGGCAGGAAGAGGAAGAGGAGGCAGAGCUGCCGGGAAGAACUGUGGGGUCAGGGUCUCCUUCUUGGUGAACUCAGCUGAAGACAUCCAAGAUGAUGAGAGUCUCCCCAAGAUAUAGGAGAAGAGAUGUAAGAAGGGCUUUGAGAGACCAGGAGUCUGAGCAACAUGGUGGAAACUGAUAGGCUUGAAGAUGAGACAUAGCCAGUGAACAUUACCAGGAAUGGCUGAGGCUCAAGAGUGUGGGUUUGAUUUUAAGUCAUGUGCUGGCCUGUGUAACCACUCUCAUUAUCCUCAAACCUCCAGUGAAACUCACUCAUCUGGGACAGCGUUGUGCUCCUGGGAGCUUUGGGGAAUCAGAGAGGCUGCAGAGUUUUUUGGGUUAGCUCAGGGGAGAGAGAAUCAGAUAGACAGAUGUAUUUGUAACACAUACGAAUACGUUCUAACAGGAGAACUUAUACCUUCUUCACCUGCCAGGGAGAAGCCCAAAGGAGUGGCUAUGCCCCAGACUAGAGAGGCCAGAGGUGGCUUCCCAGUGGUCCAAGCUGGGGCUAAAAAUGUUAGUGUGUACUUUAAUUUCCUGGGGCUGUCUUAAUAAACUGCCCCAAACUAGGUGGCUUGCAAGAGAUAUUUAGUCUGUCACCACUCUGGAAACAAGAAAUCUGAAGUCAAGGUGUCAGCAGGACUGUGCUCCCUCCGAAAGCUCUAGGAGAUGAGAGGCCUCUCCCGGCCCCUGGUGGCUGUUGACCUUCUUUAUGAUUGCAUCACCCCAAUCUCCACCUUCGUCUUCACGUGGCCUUCUCCCCUCCUCUGUGUGUCUGUGUCUUCUUCUGUCUCUUAUAAAGACAUUGAUCAGAUUUCCAGUCUGUCCAGGGCAAUCCAAU